GAUGAACGCUAGCGGCAGGCCUAACACAUGCAAGUCGAGGGGUAGUUACUUUCGGGUAAUGAGACCGGCGCACGGGUGCGUAACGCGUAUGCAAUCUACCUUUUACAGGGGAAUAGCCCAGAGAAAUUUGGAUUAAUGCCCCAUAGUAUGUAUGAAUCGCAUGGUUUAUACAUUAAAGUUCCAACGGUAAAAGAUGAGCAUGCGUCCCAUUAGUUAGUUGGUAAGGUAACGGCUUACCAAGACGAUGAUGGGUAGGGGUCCUGAGAGGGAGAUCCCCCACACUGGUACUGAGACACGGACCAGACUCCUACGGGAGGCAGCAGUGAGGAAUAUUGGACAAUGGGCGCAAGCCUGAUCCAGCCAUGCCGCGUGCAGGAAGAAGCAUCUAUGGUGUGUAAACUGCUUUUGUACGGGAAGAAACACUCCCUCGUGAGGGAGCUUGACGGUACCGUAAGAAUAAGGAUCGGCUAACUCCGUGCCAGCCGCCGCUGUAA
Molecule: ribosomal RNA, 494 nt
Filed under: uncultured bacterium
Lineage: Bacteria
Description: partial 16S ribosomal RNA
Rfam family: Bacterial small subunit ribosomal RNA
Source: RNAcentral